GCCUUCGUGGUGUAAUGGUCAGCACACUUGGCGCGUAUUCGAGAGGUCCGAGGUUCGAGUCCCGGCAAGUGCA
RNAcentral lists this transfer RNA (73 nucleotides) under Stegodyphus mimosarum. It matches the Rfam family "tRNA". Rfam says of the family: Transfer RNA (tRNA) molecules are approximately 80 nucleotides in length. The record is from Rfam by way of RNAcentral. Lineage: Eukaryota; Metazoa; Arthropoda; Arachnida; Araneae; Eresidae.